GUAGGUUAUAACGAUAGACUUGCAAGUAGUUACUAAUGCAGCCAAACGAAACGACAGUUCCAAGCCUGUGAAAAUGCAGAGGAGUAA
Molecule: non-coding RNA, 87 nt
Filed under: unclassified sequences
Source: RNAcentral